AUUUUCAUGUGUUUCAGGUUUUAAGAAUCCCUAUUCAAUAUAACAGAUUUUCUAUUCCUGAAACACAGAAAUGUAUAAGGCAUUGUUAGCUAUAAGAUGAGCAAAUUAUUUUAAAAACAAUUACAUGAACAACAGUUGCUGUGUUACAGAUGUAAUGUCUUAAGGUUGGAUAAUGCAAAAUGUUCAACUCCACCCCUAAAACUCCAGUGAACCAGGAACAUAUCAGUGGCAUCUGACUAACUCGCAUCUUGCUUUUCGCUUUUUGAGCUUGGAGUUUACCACUUCUCUCGGGGAAUUGUGAUAGCUACAGGGCUGACAGAACACUGAAAAUGAAGAAAUGGAUUAGGCAAGGACUGAAUCCCCACAGACAUCCAAUACUGGAGAAUGAAAAACUUCAAGGACCUUGACACAAACCCUCAAAACAGGUUAAAUAAGUAUCAAUAUUUAGCAAUAAAUGUAGACUGCAUGCAUAUCCUUCUUUGUAGGUUUAUGUAUUUUUGUUGCUGCUUUUAUAAACCAAGAAAAGUGCUGUGCUGCUGUGAAUUUACUUCUUUUUCCUUAUGGAGAGCAUAAGGGCCAGUUAAUUUUGGCACACUGUAACUUCAAUAUGUUUCCUUUUUAUUCAUAGCAUUUAUGCUGCCUGAUUUUGCUCCUUAAUCCAAAUCCAAUUCUUUUGGAGGAAGCUGGAGCUAUUAUACAGCAAAACUGAUACAGCUGUCCUUGUUUAGUGUUACAGUUAUGUUUAUUCCCAGUGAAGCAGAUUCCAAAUGAUGCAUAUUUUUUUGAAAAAAUAAUCAAGAAAUCAUUGCAUACCACUGCACAGUUUUAUGGGGGGCCAUCUUACUCUUAGGGAUCAAUUUAUGAAUUUUUAUUUUUUUAUUAAACGUUUUUUUCACAAUUGAGAUGCAGUUUUUGUACAAAACUUGUAUAUUUAGCAAGUCCUGAAAGGCAGUCACUAUAUAUUUAUAUAGCCAAAUAUUUUAUCUUUUAUGAUGCAGUGUUUCUAUAAACACAUAGAAGGCCACAUCUUCUGUAUAAAUGGGAAAUAUACAGCCACUCUAUUCAUUUAAAUCAAAACUUAGGGGCAGAUUUAUCAAUAUGUGCAUUUAGGGCUUAAUACAUGUGCAUGUGCACAGGGAGCAAAUAUUGGCAUGAAAAUGCAUACUUUUGCGUUUCCACGCUGAUAUCUGCUUUGUUGUGUGUCUGCAAAAAAGCCCUGUGUGCCAUUAGCCUCAGGCACAUUUAGUUUCAUGUUUUAUUUGGCCUUUCAGAUGCUUUAUUUUUAACCAAAACUUUGCCUGUACUGUAAUGUAUUCUUCAGUGAACCUGAAAUGUAAGAUAUGCUCUGUUUUUAUUUAAUAUGGUAUCAAGAGUCAGAACUGGAUUUGUUUUGUUAACCCAAAUGAUGAAUUACUUAAGUACUUGAUUACAAUUCUUAAGAUUAGAAUGCUAUAUGUUUUGCAUUACACUACUCUAAAACAGCUAAUUUAUACAUUUUGUUUUCCAGAAAAAAGAAUAAUUGAUAUUUUCCAUGCUUUAGUAUAGAACCAUAUGGAACUUGACAAUAACUGCUCUUAUUUUGUCUCUCCCAAUAAGUAAGGCAUGCAACUCCUCAAACAUCGUAUGGUCCAGGAGCCAGGAAUAGCCAGCCUGCUGCUCUACAGGUUUUGUGGAUUUGUGAUUUCCACAGAGCUGUCUUUGAAGUGGUUCUAGCAUGAGCUACUGUACUUGCUUCCUGGUGGACUGCCCUGCUCUGUCUUGGGCCCACAGAGCAAAAGCUGCUGCCUGUCCAUGUUUGAUAUCUAAGAGUAUUUAGUGUCUGUGUUUUAAAUUAAAUAAUAAAGGAAAACAUUUUAAAUCAUGUGAGUGUAAAGUUAUUCUUUAUUGUUACACAUGAGCGAAUACAGCAAAAAGACAACAGCUACAUAUAUGUUCUUUCACCACAAGAAUCCAUCAAAAAAAACUUCAGUGUCCAAAAGGUAUGGAUUAAAUACGUACAACAUAGAUUGUUUCUGCUUUUGGCUAAAUAUUUUGGAUUAGCUUAUUAAUAACUAGAAAUUGUUAUUAUGUUCCGUUAUAGGCUUAUACUGGCAGGAUUUUCAGGGCAAGGCUGCACAAAUGAUUGGCUUUCAUCCCCUGGUAACAUCUUAAAUCUUGAACUAGAUGAACCGGAUAUGGCGUAUUUUGUUUUCUCUGACAUUUUAAGAAGCUUUUGUCUGAAGUCCAACCACUUUUCACUGUUAACUCAUUUUAUCAUUAUUGUUAUAACUAAUAAAGUUGACACUGUUAUCACUGAA
Long non-coding RNA from Xenopus tropicalis (tropical clawed frog), 2297 nucleotides. RefSeq lists it as uncharacterized. The record is from RefSeq and is a predicted model, not a curated record. Lineage: Eukaryota; Metazoa; Chordata; Amphibia; Anura; Pipidae. The transcript has 4 exons.